GAUGAACGCUAGCUACAGGCUUAACACAUGCAAGUCGCGGGGCAUCAUGGAGGUUGCUUGCAAUUUCUGAUGGCGACCGGCGCACGGGUGAGUAACGCGUAUCCAACCUUCCCAUUACUACGGCAUACCCCGUUGAAAGGCGGCCUAAUUCCGUAUGCAGUCCGAAGCAGUCAUCUAAUUUGGACGAAAGGUAUAUUCUAUCGGUAAUGGAUGGGGAUGCGUCCGAUUAGCCAGCCGGCGGGGUAACGGCCCACCGGGGCAUCGAUCGGUAGGGGUUCUGAGAGGAAGGUCCCCCACACUGGAACUGAGACACGGUCCAGACUCCUACGGGAGGCAGCAGUGAGGAAUAUUGGUCAAUGGGCGUAAGCCUGAACCAGCCAAGUAGCGUGCAGGAUGACGGCCCUAUGGGUUGUAAACUGCUUUUAUGCGGGGAUAAAGUUGGGGACGUGUCCCU
RNAcentral lists this ribosomal RNA (454 nucleotides) under Hoylesella oralis. RNAcentral's name for it is "bacterial SSU rRNA". It matches the Rfam family "Bacterial small subunit ribosomal RNA", at positions 28 to 467 of the family's 1533-position model. Lineage: Bacteria; Pseudomonadati; Bacteroidota; Bacteroidia; Bacteroidales; Prevotellaceae. The record is from RNAcentral.